CAGAGUUUGCCCUUGCGGGUAGAUCUCCCACCCUGUGUUGUCGCUACCUUUGUUGCUUUGGCGGGCCGCCUGGCCCCGGCCUGGCUACCGGCCCCCGCUGGUAAGCGCCCGCCAGAGGACCCCAAACUCUGAAUGUUAGUGUCGUCUGAGUACUAUACAAUAGUUA
This 166-nucleotide unclassified non-coding RNA is filed under the name uncultured Leptodontidium. RNAcentral's name for it is "sequence contains ITS1". The record is from RNAcentral. Lineage: Eukaryota; Fungi; Ascomycota.